UCUCCGUAGGUGAACCUGCGGAGGGAUCAUUACAGAGUUCAUGCCCUUACGGGUCGAUCUCCACCCUAUGUUAUCGUUACCUUUGUUGCUUUGGCGGGCCGUCAGGCCUCGGUCAGACUACCGGCUCCGGCUGGUAAGUGCCCGCCAGAGGAUAUCAAACCUUGAAUUUAAUGUCGUCUGAGUACUAUAUAUUAGUUAAAACUUUCAACAACGGAUCUCUUGGUUCUG
RNAcentral lists this unclassified non-coding RNA (228 nucleotides) under plant metagenome. RNAcentral's name for it is "partial contains small subunit ribosomal RNA, internal transcribed spacer 1, and 5.8S ribosomal RNA". The record is from RNAcentral.